This is a long non-coding RNA of Bombyx mori (domestic silkworm), 800 nucleotides long. RefSeq lists it as uncharacterized. NCBI's taxonomy places the organism in Eukaryota, Metazoa, Arthropoda, Insecta, Lepidoptera, Bombycidae. The record is from RefSeq and is a predicted model, not a curated record. The transcript has 2 exons.
UUUUGACGUUCAUUCGUUUUGACGCAACGGACGUCGGAUACGUAGAUAAAAAAAAAGACGAUGUUCUUUUAAUACUCUUUUUUUAAAUUACUUCCCCGGGCGUGUCUCUACUCUGUGGCAAUUACUAAUUCGAAUUAAUGAAAUCGGAUAGGUGUGUUUAAGUAAAAAACACAAAAUUCACAAUGUGCGCAGAAGGGGUCGCGCAGUGUACCUGCCGAGAGCGUGUGAAGUCCGGCGCAGGCAGGGGGUAGAUGUCACAAAGGAAUAUUCAAAUCCGCUCCUGGACGGAGCUAACAUGAAUGUACAUUACCCUAUGACCAUAUUAUUUUUAACGUUCGAAGAUAAUGGCGCAUCGGGGCGAUUCAAAAUUUUUUUUUGUCGCUUUCAAGCUACCCUUUAUCGGGUCCCGCAACGCUUUAGGGCUAUUGUGCAACCGGUGUAUUUUUGUCAUUAGUUAAAUAUAAUUAAGCAUUACUUACUUGCCAUGCGUGAUAGGAAAUAAGUUUAAAAGGAAAUUGUUAAUCUAAAAUUUUAAUUACGUUUUUACCAUUUUCGUGUAGUAUAAUUUUACAAUCAAGAAGAUCGUAAAAUGAUUAGCGUGCAAUCAAAAAAACUGUCAUAAAAAUACCUAGUCUCUAUCCAAUUAAAACCAUUUUAUCUAAUCAAAACAAAAUCGUCAAGGCUUGUUUGUGAAUUUAUUCACUAGGUAAGUUAUGUAUUAGUUUCAUUUCAAAAUAAAUCAAGCUACUAUCUAGCUUCGAGAUGUAUCCAUAAAUUUGGUUUUUUAAACAUUUCAUUUU